UAGUUUCAGAAAAUGAAGCCUCAAGGAAUA
This 30-nucleotide non-coding RNA is filed under the name Mus musculus (house mouse). The record is from RNAcentral. Lineage: Eukaryota; Metazoa; Chordata; Mammalia; Rodentia; Muridae.